GACGAACGCUGGCGGCGUGCUUAACACAUGCAAGUCGAACGGAAAGGCCCUGCUUUUGUGGGGUGCUCGAGUGGCGAACGGGUGAGUAACACGUGAGUAACCUGCCCUUGACUUUGGGAUAACUUCAGGAAACUGGGGCUAAUACCGGAUAGGAGCUCCUGCUGCAUGGUGGGGGUUGGAAAGUUUCGGCGGUUGGGGAUGGACUCGCGGCUUAUCAGCUUGUUGGUGGGGUAGUGGCUUACCAAGGCUUUGACGGGUAGCCGGCCUGAGAGGGUGACCGGCCACAUUGGGACUGAGAUACGGCCCAGACUCCUACGGGAGGCAGCAGUGGGGAAUAUUGCACAAUGGGCGGAAGCCUGAUGCAGCAACGCCGCGUGCGGGAUGACGGCCUUCGUGUUGUAAACCGCUUUCUCCUGUGACGAAGCGUGAGUGACGGUAAUGGGUAAAGAAGCACCGGCUAACUACGUG
RNAcentral lists this ribosomal RNA (468 nucleotides) under uncultured bacterium. RNAcentral's name for it is "partial 16S ribosomal RNA". It matches the Rfam family "Bacterial small subunit ribosomal RNA", at positions 28 to 507 of the family's 1533-position model. The record is from RNAcentral.